AACAGACCCACUCUGGCCUUUGCCAUUGGCCAGAUGACUAAAAGUCACUGGGAGGCUGCACCUGCACCUGCCUCCCAGGAAGAACAUCAUGGCCAGUUAAAAGGGGAGGGAGAUCAACCUGGCCCCAGCUGCUGGCCAGAGAAGGACCAUCUGCAGGACACUUUGCAUCCCCCUCCCUGCCAGAAAGAACAUUCUGUUUCAACUGCUAGGUGGUCCGGAGCUGCAAAACUGAACAGAAGCAUGAUCUGGCUCCAUCCAUUGUCCAGAGGACUAGGAGCUGCUGGAUAGGAAAGGAUGUAGUGGUACCAUGUCUGCCUUACAUGUAGAAGGUUCCAGGUUCAGUCUCCAGCAUCUCUUGGUAGGACUGGGGGAGACUUCUCCCUGACACCCUGGAGAGCCACUGCCAGUGUGUGUUGGAAAUCCUGAGCAAGAUUUUAUCAUAGGAAAACUUGUGAUCCACCAAGCACAGCCCAACAGUUGUGAGUGCUUUGAACAGCAAGAAUGUGUCUGUGGAACAUAUGACAAGGCAAGUGGAGAACUGCAGCUGUGGAUCCCUGGCUUUGCCAAUGAACCCCGUCAGUACCCUCAGAAUGGGUGAAGGUGCACUCCUCAGAACCAGAGUUCGUCUCUCUUCCCUUACCCGGUUUGAGAAAUGCAAUUCUUCUGUGCCUUGCUAAAAGGAAUAAAAACAGGCUUUGGGGCUGUUUUUUGGAUUUGCGGAUGCAUUUUGAAAUUAGUCACCACUCGGCUAUGCAAAGGCCUGGAAAAAGAGGAGGGACCACCAUGACGGGCGCAGCUCUCUCCCGGAGCAGGCAGAAGACAGAUUUAACAAUGGGGGCGCGCGGGAGAUUGACUGAUUGCAGCUCCCUGGAGUCAAGCCUGAAGCAGAAGGAUCCCCACUGACACUACCCUUGAGCAAGCAGGGAGAGGCAGCUGGGGCCUGGGAACAUGUGGAUGCUGAACUUGUUUAUUGGACUCUUUCCCGUUUCCCC
Molecule: long non-coding RNA, 992 nt
Organism: Rhineura floridana
Lineage: Eukaryota; Metazoa; Chordata; Lepidosauria; Squamata; Rhineuridae
Exons: 3
Source: RefSeq, a predicted model, not a curated record